RNAcentral lists this unclassified non-coding RNA (334 nucleotides) under soil metagenome. RNAcentral describes it as "partial contains 5.8S ribosomal RNA, internal transcribed spacer 2, and large subunit ribosomal RNA". The stretch from base 1 to 120 matches the Rfam family "5.8S ribosomal RNA", at positions 35 to 154 of the family's 154-position model. The record is from RNAcentral.
GAUGAAGAACGUAGCGAAAUGCGAUAAGUAAUGUGAAUUGCAGAAUUCAGUGAAUCAUCGAAUCUUGGAACGCACAUUGCGCCCGCCAGUAUUCUGGCGGGCAUGCCUGUUCGAGCGUCAUUUCAACCAUCAAGCCCUGCUUGCGUUGGGGUCCUGCGGCUGCCCGCAGGCCCUGAAAACCAGUGGCGGGCUCGCUAGUCACACCGAGCGCAGUAAUACAUCUCGCUUUGGGCGUGCGGCGGGUUCUUGCCGUUAAACACCCCCUUUUUACCAAGGUUGACCUCGGAUCAGGUAGGAAUACCCGCUGAACUUAAGCAUAUCAAUAAGCGGAGGA